This 52-nucleotide ribosomal RNA is filed under the name uncultured fungus. RNAcentral describes it as "partial 5.8S ribosomal RNA". It matches the Rfam family "5.8S ribosomal RNA", at positions 1 to 50 of the family's 154-position model. Rfam says of the family: 5.8S ribosomal RNA (5.8S rRNA) is a component of the large subunit of the eukaryotic ribosome. It is transcribed by RNA polymerase I as part of the 45S precursor that also contains 18S and 28S rRNA. Lineage: Eukaryota; Fungi. The record is from RNAcentral.
ACAACUUUCAGCAACGGAUCUCUUGGCUCUCGCAUCGAUGAAGAACGCAGCG